Non-coding RNA from Macaca mulatta (Rhesus monkey), 3517 nucleotides. Lineage: Eukaryota; Metazoa; Chordata; Mammalia; Primates; Cercopithecidae. The record is from RefSeq and is a predicted model, not a curated record.
CAGAGGUGUGGAGGCACAAGACAAGCCUGGAAUGUCUUGUGCUGGAAAAUGCAGAACCUGAAUUCAAUCGUGAGGAAGCAUCGCACAAUCUCAAACUGGGGAACAUCCUAAAAACACUGGCCUGUAGAUCUUCCAGUGUGUCAAGACCAUGAAAGUCAAGGAAAGUCUGAGUCGGCCAGCGUGAAGGGAACCAGUCACGACAACCAAAUGCAACGUGUCAUUCUGAACGAAAUCCUCAUGCUACAGAUGAUGUCGCUGAGACAAUUGACAAAACAUGAAAAGGAUCUGGGCAUUAGUUAGGGCGUCACAGAGGAGAUUCAGGUGAGACACGGACGGUGAAAAGGAGGCAAGAACCAUUCUGAAGCCCAGCCAUCGCUUCCUGUGCUGCCCCGGGGCUGAUGUCUUUGAUCUUAUUAGAAGUUGAAUAAGGAAAUAGCUGAAGUGAGCAGGGAAUGGAGGCAAAAUAACGACAAAGGCUGCAGAGAUGUUUCAAUCACAACCACGAUUACAAGUCUGAACUGCCUUUAGUGGAUGGAACUGGAUUGGCUGAGUGCCUGUUCGUCCAAACUGCACCAUUUUGUAAGCUCCCAGCUAUUUUGCACACCUUGGUCAAAGUGAAACAUUUCACGGGGGUUCGGGCCACGAGAGACGUCCUGCCUAACCACUUGACUGCAAGGCAGACAAAGGCCCAACUAAAGAAACAUCCCUAUCGUAUCUUGCUGGACAAAGGUCCAAGGAACAUUACGACGACAUUCUGCCAGAACAAGGGCCAGGACCUCCUCAUCACGGGAACACUUUAAUAUCCUGCCGGGCAGAGAGCCAAACUGCCCAGACCCCUCCCGCCCAUACCUGUAAGUACCCCCAGCCUGUAAGUAGCGGGGAGCUCUGACAUUAGGCCGGUUCCCCACUUCUGUAGAUUUUAGGCUGUACAUAAAGCCUGUAUUUGCUGUCGAACUGCACUCUUUCUGUGGGUGUGUCUUUCUUUAACCCUUGCCUUCCCUUCAAAACCUAACAGAGCCUAUGUUUGCUAAUGGGAAGGCCCCCCAGUGGCCACCCUUUAGUUGAUUGCCUUUGUCGCUUUUUUGGCCGAUUCUCCUUUCCUGAAGGUCCCAGACCCCAGGAGUUAGGUUGGAAGGUACAAGUUCUGGGAGAACAGAAGUUGUGACUUAGCAAGGCUUCCCCUACCUGACUUGCCAAAAGAAGAGAUCCUCUCUCCCCUUCCUGGGAGAAUAAUCCAAAGAACUCCCAAGACACUUCAGACAGGAACAUGCCACCCUGUUGCAGACAGUUCCCAGCCUCUAGCUGUGGAUUCAUGUGUGUCCCAGCUUUCCUACCUAUUGAAUACAUGAUGGCCCCUUGACGAAUUGUUGGGAAAUGAGGCCCGGAAGAGUCUGUUUCAACAGAACCUGCAGCAAGAGCAUCAAAGGAAGGGAGCCGGCCGGGAGUGGGACUGGCACCCAGAGCUCAGGGUGCUGCAGGGACAGCCGCAUUGGCACGUUCUUCUCGUGGCCGAGGCACCAAGCCCAGCGCCGACUGUUAGAGAGGCUGAGAUUUCAGAACUGGGAUCUAGGGGGUCAUGGAGCCUACCACCUCCUCUCUAGGUGGUGACCUCAGGAAGCACACAUCUUCCACUUCAGCUCCUUUUCAAGAUUCCAUUCUUCUCAGAGAGGCCUAAAUUGGAAGGCCAGGGUCUUCCUCUCGCUGGCCCCUGCCCUCUGGAGGCUGGGAACAUGUUGGAGCCAUGAAUGGAGCCAUGGGAUGAGAACAGAAAUGUCCAGAGUCACCCCCUGCUGUCUCUCCAGCCCCAACAGUCCCCUGUACUCAGCACUUCUUGUUUGUAUUUACAGAAACUAAUCAAACCCAAUCCAUCCGCACCGUGUUUCCUCAACACUCACUGAUGGCUAUUAAUCAGCAGGCCAGUGGUGCUGCUCCCCACUGUGUUAGCGUCUUGUUAAUGAUGGGGAGAAGACUGCCAAAUGACCAGCGUGGCUCCAGAUGGACAGAGAAAUAUGGGUCUUGCCCAGACCAAGGAGGCAAGGGCAUCACCACCAUCCGUCUGGCAUGGAACAGAGAUCCCUGGUGCUUGAUAACAAGAACGGGGCGGACUUCUCUCUGCAAAGAACAGUGUUGAAAGUUCUUCCACGUGCCCCCCACCUCCCUUCGUGCAGAUGAUCUGGGAAACUGAAAACAGGGUAAAAGGAGACCUCGGUGGGGAGGGAAGGUUACCUAGCUGUUCCUGCAUUAAAGGACCUAUGAGAUGGUCUAUAGCAGCGGCAGGAGGGAUUUAAGCUAGAUGUCCAGAAGUAUUUCCCGAUGAGAAGGCUGCUAGGCACUCUCCCAGGACAGGAAUGUGAUCUAUGACUCAUAGAUCUUCUACUCUAAGUCUCCAGCUCAACUUGCUCUAUGUUUAUAUACAUGCAUGCACAAGCUUGACUUUUCCAUCAGUACACACCAUUAAGGGAACCUGGUCUAGUAUUUAUUUGGUGAAACUUGGUGUCCCCUCCCCUUGGUGCUGGGUCAUGCUGCUGACCGGGCAUCGCCUGAAUUAGCUGGAUUAGCACACAUGUCAACAAGCCUUUGCUAUCCAGACAACGUGCCAAGCUGUAGGUAACAGGCUGGGGACGCCAAGUCCCAAAGGAAUUAUCGGGAUCAGUAAUAGCUUAGUGGAGCACACUCUAAAUGCCAAAGGUGUGGCUCAGCAGGAACCUAGCAACUCAAAGGGAGGUGUCCAAGAAGCCGAUCACGGAGGCUCCGAGUGAGGAGGGAGCUUGCAGACCCGGCUUGAGGUGCACUUCAUAGUUGUUUGGUUUCUAAUGGAGGAGUUUUGGGCAGGCCCAAGAGGAGGCAUUUUGGGGUCCCUGGAACUGCUCUCUUGUCCCCAGAAUCUGUCCUGAAAUGGGUACCCAGAGCCACAGGUUUGUUAGAACUUGUCACAUGGAGAACAUGUAGGGACAAGGUCUUGAGGAAGGGGCGUUCGCAGAGUCUCUUUUGUCCCCCAGAGCCUCUCACAGGCCAAGGACAGGGCUCCGGGGAUCCCUACCCCAGUGGAAAGCACGUUCAAGGAAGGUAUAAGAGUUCACCCAUCGGCCCUGAGAUGGCAUUUUAUCUCCCAAGAGCUGCAGGCUCCGCUGCCCAGGCCCUCCUAGGCCAGGACCUUCUGGACUGAACACAGGCCCCAGUCCUCCUCCCCUGCAGGCCCAGGCUUAAGGGUUUUACAUAGUGAGCAGUUCUCAGGGACCCAAACCUUGAGCCUCCCUGGAUUAAAUGAGGCUGAGUCCCUGAGUCUAGAAGUCACUGAGGGGCCUCCUUCCACCCUCUACCUCCAUGUGGGGCUGCGGAAAAACCAGCAGGAACAAACACGGCAAUUUAAUUUUUACGGUUUCCAGAUGGAAAGAAAGGAAAUUUGUUUUAAGGGCUGUGUGGCAUGAUGGUUAGGAACAAUAGGUGAAGGUUUGAUUGCUAGCUCAACCAUCUACUAGCCUGUGGCCUUUCACAAAAAAAAAAAAAAGAAAAAGAA